This 305-nucleotide ribosomal RNA is filed under the name uncultured bacterium. RNAcentral describes it as "bacterial SSU rRNA". It matches the Rfam family "Bacterial small subunit ribosomal RNA", at positions 339 to 661 of the family's 1533-position model. The record is from RNAcentral.
CCACGGGGGGCAGCAGUGGGGAAUAUUGCACAAUGGGGGGAACCCUGAUGCAGCGACGCCGCGUGAGCGAUGAAGAAUUUCGGUAUGUAAUGCUCUAUCAGCAGGGAAGAAAAUGACGGUGCCUGACUAAGAAGCCCCGGCUAACUACGUGCCAGCAGCCGCGGUAAUACGUAGGGGGCAAGCGUUAUCCGGAUUUACUGGGUGUAAAGGGAGCGUAGACGGCUGUGCAAGUCUGGAGUGAAAGGCAUGGGCUCAACCUGUGGACAGCUUUGGAAACUGGGCGGCUUGAGUGUCGGAGAGGAAAG